UACGUAGGGGGCUAGCGUUGUCCGGAAUCAUUGGGCGUAAAGAGCGCGUAGGCGGCCAGAUAAGUCCGGUGUGAAAGUCAAAGGCUCAACCUUUGAAUGCCGCUGGAAACUGUCUGGCUAGAGUCCGGGAGGGGCGAGUGGAAUUCCUGGUGUAGCGGUGAAAUGCGCAGAUAUCAGGAGGAACACCAAUUGCGAAGGCAGCUCGCUGGGACGUUACUGACGCUGAGACGCGAAAGCGUGGGGAGCAAACAGG
This 253-nucleotide ribosomal RNA is filed under the name uncultured bacterium. RNAcentral describes it as "partial 16S ribosomal RNA". It matches the Rfam family "Bacterial small subunit ribosomal RNA", at positions 524 to 776 of the family's 1533-position model. The record is from RNAcentral.